RNAcentral lists this ribosomal RNA (254 nucleotides) under uncultured bacterium. RNAcentral describes it as "partial 16S ribosomal RNA". It matches the Rfam family "Bacterial small subunit ribosomal RNA", at positions 524 to 777 of the family's 1533-position model. The record is from RNAcentral.
UACAGGGGGUGCAAGCGUUAAUCGGAAUUACUGGGCGUAAAGCGCGCGUAGGUGGUUUGUUAAGUUGGAUGUGAAAUCCCCGGGCUCAACCUGGGAACUGCAUCCAAAACUGGCAAGCUAGAGUAUGGUAGAGGGUGGUGGAAUUUCCUGUGUAGCGGUGAAAUGCGUAGAUAUCUGGAGGAAUACCGGUGGCGAAGGCGGCAUCCUGGACCAUUACUGACGCUGAGGCGCGAAAGCUAGGGGAGCAAACAGGG